AAAUAAAAGCAGAAGCACCCGCUUCUCGCCUUAGUUGAGUAUAUCACUGGGCUGGAUAAGAGGAUUCCUUGUAUCGGUAAGAUAUGAGUAUGAAUUUACGCGGGUUCUGAAUGGAACCGGCUUUUUUUAUGCCUU
This is a non-coding RNA of Enterococcus sp., 135 nucleotides long. The record is from Rfam. NCBI's taxonomy places the organism in Bacteria, Bacillati, Bacillota, Bacilli, Lactobacillales, Enterococcaceae.